Long non-coding RNA from Bos taurus (domestic cattle), 2151 nucleotides. The record is from Ensembl. NCBI's taxonomy places the organism in Eukaryota, Metazoa, Chordata, Mammalia, Artiodactyla, Bovidae.
GCUCAAACCAAGAAAACAGCAACACAACAAAGUGUGAUGCUCAAAAAUCAAAUUUAAAAAAUCCCCCAAUUAUAUGGAAUCUAGAGAUUGGCUAGACCGUCCAUAAGGACAUGCUGUUUUUUGUUCUUGUUUUCGUUUGCGGUUUAUUUUUUAAAUUUCUAAUCCAUUGUGGACCGCUAUGUUUUUGUAAAAUACAAUAUAAAUGAGUUACUAAAUAAAAUUUUAAUUAAUUAAUUACUUUUUUGGUUGGCGCCCUCCAGGUGUGGGAUCAGAAUUCCCCAACCAGGGAUGGAACGCACACCCCCGGCAUUAGAAGGUGCAGUCCUAACCACGGAGCCGCCAGGGAAGUCCCACUAAACACUUGUUAAAAGACAUAAAGCUCCAAUCCAAAUAUCUUAACACCAGACCUUUGUAGGCUACCUCCUUUAUGUUCAGCAUGUAUGAAAUGAUUUCGUUUUUUAUAUGCAGCUGCUAUAAAAGUCUGUCUUUCUUUUCGAAGUCUGUAUUUAUCUCUCUGCUUAGCCCUGAGACGUAGGUGGGAUAAACGCUCCAGAGUUUCACGCGCCGGACGCCUGGAUGGCUGCCUCCCCCGAACCCUUGCCCCGCAUCAUCCGGCCAAGCAUCCCCUCUGGAGCAUGCGCCGUCCAUUCCUGCGAUCUGGCCUGCGGAGGUCCCUCCUCUCCGGCCUUUCAAGCAGAGACCUUCAUCUGACCCUGCCCGGCUACUGGGCAAGGCUCCGUUGCCCUGUGACACUGAAGGGCGAGGGAGCCACAGAGGGCUCAAGAGUCCCUGAGCAUCAGGGUUUACCGGAUGCGUGGUGUGAACUAGGCUCCAAAUGAAGAGCCUGGGAGGAGGGCCUCCGUCGCCUCGGUUACCCAGGUGGUUCCCAUCCCAAGCCUCUCCUUCAGCCCCCACAGAAAUGCGGAGUGGGGCUUCUCCUGGGAACGGUGGUCAGGGCUGCAAUGCCCGGACCUGGCUCUGCCACGCUCCAUGCUUCUGCUGAUGCACAGCGCCUGCCAGCGCAUCCUCUCCCUGCGCAUUCAUCAGGACCCACACCCAGGAACACACCCAGCUGCACCUUGUUUGAAAAAGAAAAAAGAGCUGCUGUAUGAAUCCCGCUUAGAAAACAGCUGAACCAGGCAAAUCUCUGCAGCACCUUUGAACUUUGGCUUAAGAAGUGAAGGAGACUUGAACUCUGCCAUAUCUAUGACCAGAGGCCCUCCAGGCUCCUCUGUCCAUGGGAUUCUCCAGCCAAGAAUAUGGGAGUGGGUUGCUAUAACCUCCUUCAGGAGAUCUUCCCAACCCAGGGAUUGAACCCAGGUCUCCUGCCUUGCAGGGGAUCUUUCUGACCCAGGGAUUGAACCUGCAUCUCCUGACAGGCAGAUUUUUUUACCACUGAGCCAUCAGGGAAACCCCCAGGAACAAUGGGAAACAAGCUCAUGAAGAGUGACUGUGGUGUCCAGACAAGGUACAAGUUCCGGCUGCAACAAAAAAAAUGUUCCAUAGGGUUGUAGUCAAAGUGUCAGCUCAACUGAGAAAAGAUCGACUUCCACGUUUAUGCCGUUGUUGGCAGCAUCCAGUUCCUCGCAAGCUGCCAGCCUGAGCCUUAGUUUCUUGUUGGCUGUGACUAGAAGUUACCUUCAGCUCUCUGCUGUGUGCAUGGUACUCUCCAUAUCAAAGCUUAUCGCAUGGCAGAUUGUUUAUUCAAAACCGACAAGGAAGAGAAAGUUUCCUACCAAGAUGAGUUAAAUGCCUUGUAAAAUGAGAUCACAUUCAGGAAAUGAAAUAUUUAAUACAUUCCUUCACCUUUGCCAUGCUCUUAGUUGGAAGCUAUUCACAGUCCUAUGCACCAAGGGAGAGGCUCACACAAGGGUGCAGAACAGGAGGCAAGGAUCAUGGGACCACUCUAGACACUGUCCACCAACUGAGUGGUGCUCCAGCCUUCUCUUCUCUUUCCCUGGCAACCUGACCCUACAAGAUGGCUCAUAAAAUGGAAGAAACAAAGGUGGAUGCAUAUUAGAUCUUCAGUUACCACUUGGAAUAAAGUUGUCCUGAAGGGUGACCUCAUCCACAGUGGAUUUUGACUAAGCAAGAAAUUUGAGAACUUUUAUAGUCUGACUUUAGAAAGAGAAGAAAACCUUAACCUGAUCC